This 235-nucleotide ribosomal RNA is filed under the name uncultured Glomus. RNAcentral describes it as "partial 18S ribosomal RNA". It matches the Rfam family "Eukaryotic small subunit ribosomal RNA", at positions 548 to 785 of the family's 1831-position model. Lineage: Eukaryota; Fungi; Glomeromycota; Glomeromycetes; Glomerales; Glomeraceae. The record is from RNAcentral.
UUGGAGGGCAAGUCUGGUGCCAGCAGCCGCGGUAAUUCCAGCUCCAAUAGCGUAUAUUAAAGUUGUUGCAGUUAAAAAGCUCGUAGUUGAAUUUCGGGAUCAACUUACUGGUCGUGCCUAUGGUACGCACUGGUUUUGUUGGUUUCUCCCUUCUGACGAAUCACGAUGUCAUUAAUUUGAUGUCCUGGGGAAUCAGGACUGUUACUUUGAAGAAAUUAGAGUGUUUAAAGCAGGC